This 348-nucleotide ribosomal RNA is filed under the name uncultured deep-sea bacterium. Its description in RNAcentral is "bacterial SSU rRNA". It matches the Rfam family "Bacterial small subunit ribosomal RNA", at positions 1151 to 1498 of the family's 1533-position model. The record is from RNAcentral.
GCCGGUGACAAACCGGAGGAAGGUGGGGAUGACGUCAAGUCCUCAUGGCCCUUAUGGGUAGGGCUUCACACGUAAUACAAUGGCGCGUACAGAGGGUUGCCAACCCGCAAGGGGGAGCUAAUCUCAGAAAGCGCGUCGUAGUCCGGAUCGGAGUCUGCAACUCGACUCCGUGAAGUCGGAAUCGCUAGUAAUGGCGGAUCAGCAUGUCGCGGUGAAUACGUUCCCGGGUCUUGUACACACCGCCCGUCACACCAUGGGAGUGGGUUCCACCAGAAGCAGGUAGUCUAACCGCAAGGAGGGCGCUUGCCACGGUGAGAUUCAUGACUGGGGUGAAGUCGUAACAAGGUA